GAAUCUUCCGCAAUGGACGAAAGUCUGACGGAGCAACGCCGCGUGGGUGAUGAAGGUCUUCGGAUCGUAAAACCCUGUUGUUAGGGAAGAAUAAGUAUCGGAGUAAUAUACCGGUACCUUGACGGUACCUUACCAGAAAGCCCCGGCUAACUACGUGCCAGCAGCCGCGGUAAUACGUAGGGGGCAAGCGUUGUCCGGAAUUAUUGGGCGUAAAGGGCGCGCAGGCGGUUUUUUAAGUCUGAUGUGAAAUCUCGCAGCUUAACUGCGAGCGGUCAUUGGAAACUGGAAAGCUUGAGUACAGAAGAGGAGAGUGGAAUUCCACGUGUAGCGGUGAAAUGCGUAGAGAUGUGGAGGAACACCAGUGGCGAAGGCGACUCUCUGGUCUGUAACUGACGCUGAGGCGCGAAAGCGUGGGUAGCGAACA
RNAcentral lists this ribosomal RNA (424 nucleotides) under uncultured bacterium. RNAcentral's name for it is "partial 16S ribosomal RNA". It matches the Rfam family "Bacterial small subunit ribosomal RNA", at positions 359 to 774 of the family's 1533-position model. The record is from RNAcentral.